RNAcentral lists this transfer RNA (66 nucleotides) under Uroteuthis duvaucelii. RNAcentral's name for it is "tRNA-Cys". The record is from RNAcentral. Lineage: Eukaryota; Metazoa; Mollusca; Cephalopoda; Myopsida; Loliginidae.
AAGUUUUAAUGAAUAUACUCAUAUCCUUAAGUUUGCAACUUAAUAUUUUAUUUAAACUAUAAAACC